GGCCUCGUGGCCUAGAAGUAAGGCAUUGGUUUCCGGCGGACAUCCGUUGGCUGUCAGGUGUACCAAAGAUCGCGGGUGCAAAUCCCGUCGGGGUCG
Schizosaccharomyces japonicus yFS275 is the source of this 96-nucleotide transfer RNA. It matches the Rfam family "tRNA". From Rfam's summary of the family: Transfer RNA (tRNA) molecules are approximately 80 nucleotides in length. Their secondary structure includes four short double-helical elements and three loops (D, anti-codon, and T loops). Further hydrogen bonds mediate the characteristic L-shaped molecular structure. tRNAs have two regions of fundamental functional importance: the anti-codon, which is responsible for specific mRNA codon recognition, and the 3' end, to which the tRNAs corresponding amino acid is attached (by aminoacyl-tRNA synthetases). tRNAs cope with the degeneracy of the genetic code in two manners: having more than one tRNA (with a specific anti-codon) for a particular amino acid; and 'wobble' base-pairing, i.e. permitting non-standard base-pairing at the 3rd anti-codon position. NCBI's taxonomy places the organism in Eukaryota, Fungi, Ascomycota, Schizosaccharomycetes, Schizosaccharomycetales, Schizosaccharomycetaceae. The record is from Rfam.